UCGGAAUUCCUAUUCCAUUACUUCUCCAAAGUAAAAUUAACUGGGUCAAAAAUGUGUUAACUGUUUUUGUUGAUUUCUUGUAAAUGUUGCCAAAAUGCUUUCCAAAAGAGUUAUGGCAAUGUACUCAUUCCAUUAGAUACAUCUGACUGCAGUUUCCAUUUUAUUUUAUCAACACAAGAUUCUGUCACUUAAAACCACUGAUUACUUUAAUAUGUUAAAUGAUACUUUGUUACUGUUUUAAUUUACAUUUAUUAGGUUAUAAUUUCCCCACUUGUUUAUUUACUCUCUCCUCUUAAAAGAAAAACCUGCUCACAUCCUUUGUUCAGAAUGGAAUCGGUCUCAGCCAUCUUCUAAACCAUUUUAAUUUCCGGGGAGGCUGGAGUAUGAAUGCCUGAUUUAAUCCUGGCCCCUCAUUUGCAGCUUGAAACUCUGGGCAACUUGUCGAAUCUUUCUAUGUCUCAGUUUCCUCCUCAACACAAAUAGCACUUUCUUUUUUUAACUAGAGUGCCUUCACUAAGCGUCGCAAGGACU
RNAcentral lists this long non-coding RNA (531 nucleotides) under Homo sapiens (human). Its description in RNAcentral is "HSALNT0227748". Lineage: Eukaryota; Metazoa; Chordata; Mammalia; Primates; Hominidae. The record is from RNAcentral.